UACGGAGGGUGCGAGCGUUGUCCGGAAUCAUUGGGCGUAAAGGGCGCGUAGGUGGCCCAGUAAGCGUGCAGUGAAAGCUCGGGGCUCAACCCCGAGUCGGCCGUGCGAACUACUGGGCUGGAGCACUGUAGAGGCAGGCGGAAUUCCGGGUGUAGCGGUGGAAUGCGUAGAGAUCCGGAAGAACACCGGUGGCGAAGGCGGCCUGCUGGGCAGUUGCUGACACUGAGGCGCGACAGCGUGGGGAGCAAACAGG
Molecule: ribosomal RNA, 253 nt
Filed under: uncultured bacterium
Lineage: Bacteria
Description: partial 16S ribosomal RNA
Rfam family: Bacterial small subunit ribosomal RNA
Source: RNAcentral